This 72-nucleotide transfer RNA is filed under the name Bos taurus (domestic cattle). It matches the Rfam family "tRNA". From Rfam's summary of the family: Transfer RNA (tRNA) molecules are approximately 80 nucleotides in length. Their secondary structure includes four short double-helical elements and three loops (D, anti-codon, and T loops). Further hydrogen bonds mediate the characteristic L-shaped molecular structure. tRNAs have two regions of fundamental functional importance: the anti-codon, which is responsible for specific mRNA codon recognition, and the 3' end, to which the tRNAs corresponding amino acid is attached (by aminoacyl-tRNA synthetases). tRNAs cope with the degeneracy of the genetic code in two manners: having more than one tRNA (with a specific anti-codon) for a particular amino acid; and 'wobble' base-pairing, i.e. permitting non-standard base-pairing at the 3rd anti-codon position. The record is from Rfam by way of RNAcentral. Lineage: Eukaryota; Metazoa; Chordata; Mammalia; Artiodactyla; Bovidae.
CCCUAAGUGGCUCAGAUAGUAAAGCAUCCGCCUGCAAUGCGGGAGACCUGGGUUCAAUCCCUGGGUCAGGAA